AUAUAUCAGCAAAUAGCAGCGAAAUUUGUAUACAUGUAUCCUUUAAGCAAACAAAACUGUAUGCAAAGUGAUCAUGUAGUAUUAUUGCUAAAAGGAGUUAUAAAGAAAGAAAAGAUGCAUACAGAAAAGAAAUCUAAAAGAAAUAAAAAGAAGAGAGUAUAAGAAAUAACAAUCGCUUUGCACUUGUACAAAUAAAGUGUUCUGCUACUCCGCUCCCAUAUUGAACAGCCAGUAGUGUGAGUUUGUCUUAUUUUGUCGGUCCUCAUUCUUUCAGCGUUUAGCAUAUAUGUUGAUUUCUUUGAAUAAUCGGCGGAGACAACUUUUUAAAUUUAAACAACUAAACCCCAAAAUUUCGGGUGUAAUUGCAGAAUUAAACAAUAAUUUUACAUCAACGAAAAAUAUUUUCAUUUGCACUUGCUACGAAACAGGAGAACUAAUGACGGGCCUUGUUUUCUCGGCGUUCUAUUUCUAAAGCUCGUCAAUUUUUAUACGACCGCAAAAAAUGUUUGCGUUCGUAUAAUGGUAUGAUGUCGUUGUCGUCUGCAUCUGCGUCGUCCGAAGACACAUUUGGUAUCUGGACAAUAACUUUAGUUUGAGUGAAUAGAUCUCUAUGAAAUUUUAUAAGGAGGUUCAAUACCUUGAAAGGAAGGUGGGGG
This 656-nucleotide long non-coding RNA is filed under the name Mytilus galloprovincialis (Mediterranean mussel). The record is from RNAcentral. Lineage: Eukaryota; Metazoa; Mollusca; Bivalvia; Mytilida; Mytilidae.